Molecule: long non-coding RNA, 514 nt
Organism: Sapajus apella (tufted capuchin)
Lineage: Eukaryota; Metazoa; Chordata; Mammalia; Primates; Cebidae
Exons: 2
Source: RefSeq, a predicted model, not a curated record
AUUUUCUCUGCUUUGUCUGGGUGCAGUUAUCCCCUGAUGAAUCAAGUGCCGGUGACAUCCACCUGUCCUGGGGACCUCCUAUCAUCCAAGUCCUGUCCCCGAGAGAAAGGUGUGCUGAAUUGGUGUUGGGAAAAGGGACCUGAUCCUGAUGCCCGGGAAGCAGGUGGAGUUUGAAAAGGUGACCUGGGGUUUAUCCAGCUUCAGAGGCAGAAGAGCUUCCUGGAAGAGGAGCCACCCUCGGCCAAGGCAGGAAAAUGUGACGAAAACCCAGCACGUUGGUUGGAUUUCAUUUUGUCUGGCGAACGUCGGGGCCCUGUGAGAUAUGAGGAGGGAGGGGACACAGCGCACCCGUGGGAAGGAUCUUGCCAUCCAGGCUGCAAUUAGUUUACCCUGGGCAUGAGCGGAGCUGGUGGGGGAUGACAGGCGGGAGCAACACACUCAGACUCCAUUUUCUUAGGAUAACUCUGAUAUAAAAAUGCAUAACUAAUUGCUAAUAAAUAAUUUAUCAACAUUU